This 627-nucleotide unclassified non-coding RNA is filed under the name Leishmania donovani. Its description in RNAcentral is "gene:unknown". The record is from RNAcentral. Lineage: Eukaryota; Euglenozoa; Kinetoplastea; Trypanosomatida; Trypanosomatidae.
AUACCCUUUUUUCUUCGCCUUUUGUGUUCGUUUUGUACCUCGCACAUUGCCUAUUAUGGCGUAUCCUUUUUUUUUUUGCUUUUUUCUUCUGUCUAAUCUCUCUCUCCCCAUAUGGUUUUACCUUUCAUGGCUUGUACCUCCCUCCCCUCCCCUACCCCCUCCCCAGCCAGCCCGUCCGCUCUUCCGCGUACUUCACGUCUGUGGGACACACGAAAAAAAAAGAAAACAAAGGAAUAACAGUAAAGCAACAAACGGCAAAUGGAAAAAAAAAACAGGAAAUACGUUCUGUCUCUUCCGCUACUGUCUUUGCCCCGCAUUCUUUGUUUUUCUUGUGCAGCGCCUGCGGCCUUUUUUUUUACAGUCUCCCUUUGGGCUCCCCCUUCUUGUCCUCCAGCAGCAGCAGCACGCGCGUCUGCGCCAUGCGCUCUGCCUUCUCCCCCGCUUACGUGAGCUUCAAGAAGGAAAGAGGGGGGGGAACAGGACAUACAGGGACUGCGUGGCGGGCCUUCAAGCAGAACAAAAAGGCUCAGAAGACGGGCACUUACCCAGCCGCAGUUGAAUCUUGAGCUGCUCACUCUAGCUGUGCGGUGCUCCGCGUCUCGAGUACUUGCACGUCUGCUGGCCAAC